This 104-nucleotide small RNA is filed under the name Neogale vison (American mink). RNAcentral describes it as "Neovison vison (American mink) 7SK RNA (ENSNVIG00000013260.1)". It matches the Rfam family "7SK RNA", at positions 3 to 106 of the family's 331-position model. Rfam says of the family: 7SK was discovered as an abundant small nuclear RNA in the mid-70s but a possible function has only recently been suggested. Two independent studies have found that 7SK RNA binds the CDK9/cyclin T complex (known as elongation factor P-TEFb). Lineage: Eukaryota; Metazoa; Chordata; Mammalia; Carnivora; Mustelidae. The record is from Rfam by way of RNAcentral.
AUGUGAGGGUGAUCUGGCUGCAACACCUGUCACCCAGCUGUUCACCAGGAUUGAUUGGGUUGAUCUGACUGACUAGACAGUUGUCCUCUUCCUCCCUCACCACU